GACGAACGCUGGCGGCGUGCUUAACACAUGCAAGUCGAACGGAAAGGCCCUGCUUUUGUGGGGUGCUCGAGUGGCGAACGGGUGAGUAACACGUGAGUAACCUGCCCUUCACUUUGGGAUAACUUCAGGAAACUGGGGCUAAUACCGGAUAGGAGCUCCUGCUGCAUGGUGGGGGUUGGAAAGUUUCGGCGGUUGGGGAUGGACUCGCGGCUUAUGAGCUUGUUGGUGGGGUAGUGGCUUACCAAGGCUUUGACGGGUAGCCGGCCUGAGAGGGUGACCGGCCACAUUGGGACUGAGAUACGGCCCAGACUCCAACGGGAGGCAGCAGGGGGGAAUAUUGCACAAUGGGCGGAAGCCUGAUGCAGCAACGCCGCGUGCGGGAUGACGGCCUUCGGGUUGUAAACCGCUUUCGCCUGUGACGAAGCGUGAGUGACGGUAAUGGGUAAAGAAGCACCGGCUAACUACGUG
This 468-nucleotide ribosomal RNA is filed under the name uncultured bacterium. RNAcentral's name for it is "partial 16S ribosomal RNA". It matches the Rfam family "Bacterial small subunit ribosomal RNA", at positions 28 to 507 of the family's 1533-position model. The record is from RNAcentral.